GAAUCUCUGUGGCAGCCAACCAUCCUCCUCUCACCUUAUCCAAAACUCCCCCUCCUUUCAUCAUACAAAGGUCCCUUCCUCCCUCCCACCUUCUCUCCAUUCCUUUAGCCUCAGCCACAAACUUACAACAGGUUGUGGGCUCUCUCAGAGAUGGCAGCUCUCUCUCCAGCAACACUCCCGGCAGCUGCGAUCUCAUGCUCGAGCAGCCUGAACUCCUCACUGAGAAAGAAGUCCGGUGUGGCGUACAUUGAAGGGCUGAGCUCCUUUGGGGGGCUCAAAGCUCGCAACGGAGUUUCCAACCUUGGCCUUCCGGCUUGCACUGCCCGGGCCUUCGCCAUGGUUGUGAGCUCUCUCAAGUCCUCGCCUCGGGGAAAGACGGGGAAAGGUGGAGCUCUCUCUUCCACCUGCGAUGCUGCAUCUGAGAUUUUUAAGAUUGCGGCGAUCAUGAAUGUCCUUGUGUUAAUCGGGGUGGCCGUGGGCUUCGUUAUUCUUCGAGUGGAGGCAUCUUUGGAGGAAGAGGAGUAGAAGGAUGGCGAGUUUGUUUCUUUCGAUGUAGUCCUUGUUAUUUUCGUUUGGAAGUUUCGGGCUGAAUUAUAUAUUCGGUUGGAACUACUAAUUAAGAUUUCUUGAAAGAUUGAAAUUUGAUUAAAGACGGUCUGCUAAUCUCUGCAA
Phoenix dactylifera (date palm) is the source of this 672-nucleotide non-coding RNA. The record is from RefSeq and is a predicted model, not a curated record. NCBI's taxonomy places the organism in Eukaryota, Viridiplantae, Streptophyta, Magnoliopsida, Arecales, Arecaceae.